UUUCUAUUUGUCCUCUUUCUUUUUUAAAAACAAACAGAGAAGGCUCCCUCCCCUCUCUCAAAUCCGGCCAAGGUCCGGCUUAGAUCGCCGGUGCGCCUCCGCAGUAGCACCGCCAUAGGCGGCGGCCGGAGGUGCAAAACUGGAUCUUUUUUAGUCCAUUUUGAAGCUAAACGUCCCUAGGACACGGAUCCAUGGCGGAACUUCGAGAAAGAUGAGCCUAAGGCCCGAAAACGAGGGGGAAACCGUUCGCCUCCUCCUCCUCCGGCGCGGCGCAGGUAAGGUUUUUCUCUUCCUUCUCUUUUUAUUCCCGUUUAAAAAAAGAAAAUAGAAUAACAAAGAAAAUAAAAAUAACAAAAAACGAAAUCCAAAACAAAACUCUGAAGAAAAUCACCUUGAAAUUUAGUUUUUAUAUUUCUCUACUAAUGUUUUUUUUGUGUUACAAAAAUCGCUCCCCCCUAAAUACAAAGUAAUGUUUGGCUUUUAUAGCCUAUCUAUUUCUAUAUUUCUUUGCUGUCAUUUUUGCUGCUAUUUGCGUGUUUGUUCCUUUUUGCAGGGUGAUGGAUGAGGGCAAAGCAGGUGGCUGAGGUGACCAGGGAGCAGGUGGCCGUGACUUGCGGCGCUGGAGGCUAAAGACCUAGGUGCGGCGCACCUAGGGUUUUCCCUUAGCUGAAAAUUGGCCUGAUUUUUUGGGCCAUUUGGGCUUAGGGUUAAAUUUGUUUGGGUUGUGUUGUAUUGGGUUUGGAUUAUUAGGUUUGGGCCAUUGUAAGGGUUAUUUGGGCCCCGGGCAAAUUUGGGCUUGUACAUUACUUUUUCGGUUAAACCGAAAAAAUUCGGUUAACCGACCAGUUUCGAACCGAAUUAACCGUUAACCGAAAAAUCAAAAAAUAAUUAACCGACCCCCGACCGAAAAAAUUCGGUUAACCGACCGAUUAACCGAAUUUGGUCGGUUAACCGAAUUUUUUCGGUUUUACCCGAAUUUUGUACACCUUAAAAGAUAAGUUUAGUUCUAUGGAUAAUGAUGAGAUUGUGAGUUCACAGAACCUGUCUUCUACUCUGAGGAAACUGUGUAUGUAGGAAAAGAAGCUCUAUGAUGAAGUCAAGGAUUGAGUAGGAAAUGGAUGGAGAAUAAUGUUGAGUUUCGAGAAUACAACGUUCAAUUGGAGGAGGAAUGUGCAGAGAGAGCAAGGGAGAUGAUUGAAAUCAUGGAUUAUAAAGAGCCAGGGCCUAAUACUAACCCCAGAACUAGUUCUGUUUUACUUGGUUCAGCAACCUUAGUUCUGUAAUAAAGAGCCAGGGCCCUCCUCCCCAACCACAACCUUAGUUCUGUUUUACUUGGUUCAGCAAACUAUUAAGAUGGUUUUACAACUUAGGAUUAGGCUAUGUAUGUAUUGUAAAAUCUAUGGAUUUCCGCUUUCUAUGUUACAUGAAAAUGACACCUUGGUCUUUUUAUUACAGUUAAUAUUAUGUAUGUGUGCAUGUUGAGUACUUGAUUGCAAGGGAAUAUCAGUUUCAAGAA
This is a long non-coding RNA of Gossypium raimondii (Peruvian cotton), 1516 nucleotides long. RefSeq lists it as uncharacterized. The transcript is spliced from 3 exons. The record is from RefSeq and is a predicted model, not a curated record. Lineage: Eukaryota; Viridiplantae; Streptophyta; Magnoliopsida; Malvales; Malvaceae.